RNAcentral lists this non-coding RNA (30 nucleotides) under Mus musculus (house mouse). The record is from RNAcentral. Lineage: Eukaryota; Metazoa; Chordata; Mammalia; Rodentia; Muridae.
UGNGAAAGCUAUGGAGGUCCUAGAGCCUGU